Molecule: long non-coding RNA, 298 nt
Filed under: Elaeis guineensis (African oil palm)
Lineage: Eukaryota; Viridiplantae; Streptophyta; Magnoliopsida; Arecales; Arecaceae
Description: long non-coding RNA (EGUI_LNC070405)
Source: RNAcentral
CUGCCACGCGGCGGAAAGGCCGUGAUGUUUCGUGUUCCCAAAGAGAUGGCGAAAAUGGCGGUUUCCAUUCCCGACGAGACGCCUGACACCGACGGGACGGGACGUCCGACACCGACGGGACGAGACGCCUGACACCGAUGGGACGGAACGUCCGACACCGACGGGACGAGACGCCUGACACCGACAGGACGGGACGUCUGACACUCAUAAAACGUCUGACACCGGACCAACCAAUGGUACGGUCGUCAGAGUCAGGACUUAAUGCGAUGGAUAUCCACUCCUUUCGCCCGACGCCGCC